Molecule: ribosomal RNA, 498 nt
Filed under: uncultured bacterium
Lineage: Bacteria
Description: partial 16S ribosomal RNA
Rfam family: Bacterial small subunit ribosomal RNA
Source: RNAcentral
AUUGAACGCUGGCGGCAUGCCUUACACAUGCAAGUCGAACGGUAACAGGUCUUCGGAUGCUGACGAGUGGCGAACGGGUGAGUAAUACAUCGGAACGUGCCUAGUAGUGGGGGAUAACUACUCGAAAGAGUGGCUAAUACCGCAUGAGAUCUACGGAUGAAAGCAGGGGAUCGCAAGACCUUGUGCUACUAGAGCGGCCGAUGGCAGAUUAGGUAGUUGGUGGGAUAAAAGCUUACCAAGCCGACGAUCUGUAGCUGGUCUGAGAGGACGAUCACCCAGACUGGAACGGGGACACGGCACAUACUACUACGGGAGGCAGAAGUGGGGAAUGUUGGACAAUGGGCGCAAGCCUGAUCCAGCAAUGCCGCGUGCAGGAUGAAGGCCUUCGGGUUGUAAACUGCUUUUGUACGGAACGAAAAGCCCCGGGUUAAUACCCUGGGGUCAUGACGGUACCGUAAGAAUAAGCACCGGCUAACUACGUGCCAGCCGCCGCCGUAA